This 280-nucleotide small RNA is filed under the name Staphylococcus aureus. RNAcentral describes it as "HMPRFS0000_2820". Lineage: Bacteria; Bacillati; Bacillota; Bacilli; Caryophanales; Staphylococcaceae. The record is from RNAcentral.
CACUUACUAAAUGAUCACCAGCGCCGAUGCCCAUAUUUUUUGUGCCACGAAAUAUAAGAAGUUAGCUAGAUCCUCAGUAGUUGGUAAUAAAAAUGCUAUAUGAAAAAGCCCUGCUUCACGUGGGGAAGUCUGACGGCCGUCUUCUAAUAAAUGUAACGUUAGAGUAUGGCCACCAGUCCCAACAGAUAAUACGGUUGUAUUAUCGUCAGAACUUUUAACGGAUAGUCCUAAAAUGUUUUUGUAAAAUGUUGUCAUUAAGUCUAAGUCUCUUACGUUCAGU